UACGGGGGGUGCGAGCGUUGUCCGGAAUCACUGGGCGUAAAGGGCGCGUAGGUGGUUUGAUAAGGGUGUGGUGAAAGUCCGGAGCUCAACUCCGGAUCUGCCGUGCCGACUGUCAAACUCGAGGGCUGUAGAGGCAGACGGAAUUCCGGGUGUAGCGGUGGAAUGCGUAGAUAUCGUAAGGAAGACCAGUGGCGAAGGCGGGUCUCUGGACAGUUCCUGACGCUGAGGCACGAAGGCCAGGGGAGCAAACGGGG
This 254-nucleotide ribosomal RNA is filed under the name uncultured bacterium. RNAcentral's name for it is "partial 16S ribosomal RNA". It matches the Rfam family "Bacterial small subunit ribosomal RNA", at positions 524 to 777 of the family's 1533-position model. The record is from RNAcentral.